GGUUGCUAUGGCCGGAGCCCCGCGUGGCGACGCCCCGGUGCCGUACGCACGCGCGAGCAGAACGGGAGACCCGUCCGCCAUGGACGGCCCCACCUCUGCUGAGUUAACCAAUCAUAGGGAGACUCUGAAUGAUUGGCGUUUCUGUCGGCCAAUGGUCCCUUGGAGGCACUAGAUAUGCCAGGAGUGUCCAGAUCAUGGGUCCGCUGAUCUUGUGACAGAGUGGAGCAGUGGCACUCAGCUCAGAACCAGAUGUCAAGAAUAUCUAAUCUCAGCUGUUUGGUGACUGCAUGACUCCUACAGCGCAGGACGCUUGCCAUCUAAAUCCAAGAGUGUGGGCUUCACAACAGAGGAUGGCUUGCUGAGGGGACUGGUUAGGCUCUUCUCUUGAGCAUAGCUUCCUCUAUUCUGUGGAUGCCCAGCAAACCUCAGCUUCUGCUUCGUGCAAAGGACUGUGCUUCCCGUGGUAUGGCUUCUCUCACA
Hirundo rustica (Barn swallow) is the source of this 480-nucleotide long non-coding RNA. RefSeq lists it as uncharacterized. The transcript has 4 exons. The record is from RefSeq and is a predicted model, not a curated record. NCBI's taxonomy places the organism in Eukaryota, Metazoa, Chordata, Aves, Passeriformes, Hirundinidae.